Long non-coding RNA from Thalassophryne amazonica, 145 nucleotides. RefSeq lists it as uncharacterized. NCBI's taxonomy places the organism in Eukaryota, Metazoa, Chordata, Actinopteri, Batrachoidiformes, Batrachoididae. The transcript has 2 exons. The record is from RefSeq and is a predicted model, not a curated record.
CGGCCUCAGAGGGGACUCUUGCUGCUGCAGAGCAGAUGCACGUAGAUGAUCUUUCUGCCACUCAAGACAAGAACAAAUUGUCUCAGUGGGAUCAAGACAGCUGUAAUAUUGACCAUAAAAACCCUCCAUGAACAAGUCUCCCACC